Molecule: ribosomal RNA, 465 nt
Filed under: uncultured bacterium
Lineage: Bacteria
Description: partial 16S ribosomal RNA
Rfam family: Bacterial small subunit ribosomal RNA
Source: RNAcentral
CUACGGGGUGCAGCAGUGAGGAAUAUUGCGCAAUGGGGGAAACCCUGACGCAGCGACGCCGCGUGGAUGAUGAAGGCCUUAGGGUCGUAAAAUCCUGUCAGGUGGGAAGAAGUGGAUAUAGAUUAAUACUCUAUUUCUUUGACGGUACCACCAAAGGAAGCACCGGCUAACUCCGUGCCAGCAGCCGCGGUAAUACGGAGGGUGCAAACGUUGUUCGGAAUUACUGGGCGUAAAGCGCGCGUAGGCGGUUUGUUAAGUCAGAUGUGAAAGUCCAUGGCUCAACUACGGAAGUGCAUUUGAAACUGGCAGACUUGAGUACUGGAGGGGGUGAGGGAAUUCCCGGUGUAGAGGUGAAAUUCGUAGAUAUCGGGAGGAAUACCGGUGGCGAAGGCGAUCACCUGGCCAGAUACUGACGCUGAGGUGCGAAAGCGUGGGGAGCAAACAGGAUUAGAUACCCUAGUAGUC